CAGCAGCCACGGUAAUACGUAGGGGGCAAGCGUUGUCCGGAAUUAUUGGGCGUAAAGCGCGCGCAGGCGGUCAUGUAAGUCUGGUGUUUAAUCCCGGGGCUCAACCCCGGAUCGCACUGGAAACUGGGUGACUUGAGUGCAGAAGAGGAGAGUGGAAUUCCACGUGUAGCGGUGAAAUGCGUAGAGAUGUGGAGGAACACCAGUGGCGAAGGCGACUCUCUGGGCUGUAACUGACGCUGAGGCGCGAAAGCGUGGGGAGCAAACAGGAUUAGAUACCCCUGUAGUCCCUGUCUCUUAUACA
Molecule: ribosomal RNA, 301 nt
Filed under: uncultured bacterium
Lineage: Bacteria
Description: partial 16S ribosomal RNA
Rfam family: Bacterial small subunit ribosomal RNA
Source: RNAcentral